GGAGCGGUAGUUCAGUUUGGUUAGAAUACCGGCCUGUCACGCCGGGGGUCGCGGGUUCGAGUCCCGUCCGCUCCGCCA
Molecule: transfer RNA, 78 nt
Filed under: Alcanivorax sp.
Lineage: Bacteria; Pseudomonadati; Pseudomonadota; Gammaproteobacteria; Oceanospirillales; Alcanivoracaceae
Also listed under: 4 other names
Description: tRNA-Asp
Rfam family: tRNA
About the family: Transfer RNA (tRNA) molecules are approximately 80 nucleotides in length. Their secondary structure includes four short double-helical elements and three loops (D, anti-codon, and T loops).
Source: RNAcentral